AGAGUUUGAUCCUGGCUCAGAUUGAACGCUGGCGGCAUGCCUUACACAUGCAAGUCGAACGGUAACGCGGGGCAACCUGGCGACGAGUGGCGAACGGGUGAGUAUUCUUUUGAACGUGCCCAGUAGUGGGGGAUAGCCCGGCGAAAGCCGGAUUAAUACCGCAUACGACCUACGGGUGAAAGCGGGGGACCGCAAGGCCUCGCGCUAUUGGAGCGGCCGAUGUCAGAUUAGGUAGUUGGUGGGGUAAAGGCCUACCAAGCCUGCGAUCUGUAGCUGGUCUGAGAGGACGACCAGCCACACUGGGACUGAGACACGGCCCAGACUCCUACGGGAGGCAGCAGUGGGGAAUUUUGGACAAUGGGCGCAAGCCUGAUCCAGCCAUGCCGCGUGCGGGAAGAAGGCCUUCGGGUUGUAAACCGCUUUUGUCAGGGAAGAAAUCCUUUGGGCUAAUACCCUGAAGGGAUGACGGUACCUGAAGAAUAAGCACCGGCUAACUACGUGCCAGCAGCCGCGGUAAUACGUAGGGUGCAAGCGUUAACCGGAAUUACUGGGCGUAAAGCGUGCGC
RNAcentral lists this ribosomal RNA (566 nucleotides) under uncultured freshwater bacterium. RNAcentral's name for it is "bacterial SSU rRNA". It matches the Rfam family "Bacterial small subunit ribosomal RNA", at positions 8 to 572 of the family's 1533-position model. The record is from RNAcentral.